CACACACACUUGCUGACUCCCUCCCUCGCUACCUUGCUCUCUGCUCUCAGACACCACACCAGACUCAGACUUUUUUGUAAUUCCUUUUGCUCUGGAGUGUGUUUGUUAGUGCACAGAGAGACUGCCCUACACUGCUCUACACUGCUCCUGUGCAGGGUUGCCCAGGCACCAAGGCAGGCCUGUGUUAGUCCUCGUUAUGCACUGAUGCCUGCACAUCCAGCCCCAGCAAUUUAAAAAAAAAUUUUUGCAGUAAUUUUCAUUUCAGAUUUUGUGAUUUUUUUUUUUUCCCAAAUAUUUUCUUCUACCCGGCUAAACCCUUCCCCUUGUCCCCAGAUGCCGAAGGGAGGGAAGAGCACAGGGAUAGUGUCGGUGGACAAGAGGAGAUGUGGGAAGCAGAAAACGGAGGAGGAAGGCAAGAGCGUGAUCAGAGUGAGGACUGGCACUGGGCUGCGAGACGAAGAGGGAGCGAUGAGAAGAGCGAGAGGGAGGGAGAGAGACGGAGCGGGAGAUGGCCAAAUGGGAAUCAGGCAAAAUCGCGGGAAAGGAAACAAGAAAAAAAUGUCUAGACUCAUCCAACCUACACUGCAUCCCUGCUCCAAGACUCUAACUGCAGCCUCCCCUUCUUUGUGCUCCCGUCUCCCUGCGUUGCUGAAGGACUCCAGCAUAUUUCCAGUGAAGGGGGCCCUGGCAGCCAGGUUUCCAAGAAUUGGCUGCUGUGUAUGACUUCAUCAUCUGUGAAUAUGCAAGUCGUAUGGACUGUCCAGGUGCGUUUUGAAGGUUUCUUUGCUGGCAACUGGCUAAGGGAAAAGAGACCAAUCUGAACCAAAAUGAACCAAUAUUGCAGUAUAAUAAAAAUAUUUUUGGCUAAGUAGUUGCCUUUAAACGCUGCAACAAAAUACAUUAUUUAAAAAAAUCUCAAUAUUCCUUGCCGUAAAGUAGAAGGGCACUAAGCAUAUGGACAAUUGUGAACUAUCUAGCAGUAGGGGGAGCCAAGCACCAGAGUUUGGGGCUUUAGGGUAUUUCUUAAUUACCAAAUAAAACAAACACUGCUAUUUACCAAAAACUCAUUUAUACAGAGAAAUGUUAGUGCUCCUGUGGCUUAAAAUGAAAAUGCCUACAAUUUAUAUAAAAAGAGUUUUUCAAAUAUGAAAAUUACAUAAAGUUUUUAUGCGUCCAGUCAUUUUUCAUCUGAUGUAAACACAGACAAGAAGCAGUAAGAAAGCCAUAAAACCUGUUCCAAAAAAUUUCCUGCUCUUGUAUGUAUAAUAUUAAAUGGAAAAUAAAUGGAAAUAUUGUCAACUUAAUACAAAAAAACUGA
Molecule: long non-coding RNA, 1318 nt
Organism: Brienomyrus brachyistius
Lineage: Eukaryota; Metazoa; Chordata; Actinopteri; Osteoglossiformes; Mormyridae
Exons: 4
Source: RefSeq, a predicted model, not a curated record